This 22-nucleotide non-coding RNA is filed under the name Arabidopsis thaliana (thale cress). Lineage: Eukaryota; Viridiplantae; Streptophyta; Magnoliopsida; Brassicales; Brassicaceae. The record is from RNAcentral.
GUGUGGCUAGACAGGUACAUCA